This 374-nucleotide ribosomal RNA is filed under the name uncultured bacterium. RNAcentral describes it as "bacterial SSU rRNA". It matches the Rfam family "Bacterial small subunit ribosomal RNA", at positions 31 to 403 of the family's 1533-position model. The record is from RNAcentral.
GAACGCUGGCGGCGUGCUUAACACAUGCAAGUCGAGUGCGCGUCUGUAGCAAUACAGAUGGCGCACGGCGCACGGGUGCGUAACACGUGGGUAAUCUGCCCUUCGAUGGGGAAUAACCUCGCGAAAGCGAGGCUAAUUCCGCAUAACAUUCCUAAGACUUCGGUCCCUGGAUUCAAAGCCGUAAGGCGUCGAUGGAGGAACCCGCGCACGAUUAGCUAGUUGGUGAGGUAACGGCUCACCAAGGCUAUGAUCGUUAGCUGGUCUGAGAGGAUGGCCAGCCACACUGGAACUGAGACACGGUCCAGACUCCUACGGGAGGCAGCAGUGGGGAAUCUUGCGCAAUGGGCGAAAGCCUGACGCAGCGACGCCGCGUG